UAAUGAAUGUAGCAUGGUACUGUGCACGAAAACUGAACUAUGGAUCGACAUGUCUGCCAUCUCUGAUAUUCCUUGAUGAGACGGCCUGGUUUAGAUCCACAUUC
Small nucleolar RNA from Arabis alpina (gray rockcress), 104 nucleotides. It matches the Rfam family "Small nucleolar RNA snoR100". Lineage: Eukaryota; Viridiplantae; Streptophyta; Magnoliopsida; Brassicales; Brassicaceae. The record is from Rfam.